This is a long non-coding RNA of Homo sapiens (human), 772 nucleotides long. RefSeq lists it as uncharacterized. The record is from RefSeq and is a predicted model, not a curated record. NCBI's taxonomy places the organism in Eukaryota, Metazoa, Chordata, Mammalia, Primates, Hominidae. The transcript has 3 exons.
CCUUUCCCUCACAGGCAUGCUCUACGGAGGGUAUGGGAGGCGAGGGCGCGUCUAUGAGGGCCAGAGUCCGCGAAGAGAGUCCGGCCCUUAGGCCUUUGGUGUUGAAGAAUCUGCUCCUCUGUCGGGUCAAGCCCCACUAGAAGUUAACACCUGUGGUCUCCAAACUUGCCUAUUUUCCUGUCACGCAGUUCAAGCCAAGAUUCAACUCGUCUUGAAUUUUUGUAUUUAGAGCCCCUACCUUCUCCACCGACUCCAGGGGCGCCCUCUGGCGGGAAGGGGCCUGGGGUAGGAGGGAACCUGAGGGAGCGGGUUACAAAGCAGAGAACAGCGGGAGCUCAGCAGCUCCCUUUGAAUUGCGAGGAAACCAAGACGGAGACGGGAGGUAGGAGCACGGGCCUGAAGCGGUCAGCCGACCCUGUGAGGCCCGCGCUGCCGUGCUACGCCGCGAAUCCGCCAGACGCCCCCGUCGGAAGGGGCAGGGACACCCUCGGGGGCGCUCUAGGGUUCGUGCUGCGCUAAGUGUGAAGAGGAAAAGUAAAACCAGCAGCAAGAAGACUGUAGAGAUCCAGCUGUGAGAAGACAGCGGCCCAUUCACUACAGUGGCUCUGGGUUCUGGCCUCUGGACUCAUGACUGGACCAAGCCCUCCAGGAAUCACUUUGUCUCCCCUCUCUCAUUCCCUGAUGAAGACAAGUCUCUGUGAGGUUGUUGCCGCCUCCUAGCUAUUAUGAAUAAUAAUGCAAUGAACAUGAAGAUACAGAUGUCUUUUCAAGG